UGCUACGUUAAACAAUAGAGGUGAUAAA
Molecule: non-coding RNA, 28 nt
Filed under: Bombyx mori (domestic silkworm)
Lineage: Eukaryota; Metazoa; Arthropoda; Insecta; Lepidoptera; Bombycidae
Source: RNAcentral